UCUACGGGAGGCAGCAGUGGGGAAUAUUGGACAAUGGGCGAAAGCCUGAUCCAGCCAUGCCGCGGGUGUGAAGAAGGCCUUCGGGUUGUAAAGCACUUUCAGUGGGGAAGAAAGCCUUGGGGCUAAUACCCUCGAGGAAGGACAUCACCCACAGAAGAAGCACCGGCUAACUCCGUGCCAGCAGCCGCGGUAAUACGGAGGGUGCGAGCGUUAAUCGGAAUUACUGGGCGUAAAGCGCGCGUAGGCGGUCUGAUAAGCCGGUUGUGAAAGCCCCGGGCUCAACCUGGGAACGGCAUCCGGAACUGUCAGGCUAGAGUGCAGGAGAGGAAGGUAGAAUUCCCGGUGUAGCGGUGAAAUGCGUAGAGAUCGGGAGGAAUACCAGUGGCGAAGGCGGCCUUCUGGACUGACACUGACGCUGAGGUGCGAAAGCGUGGGUAGCAAACAGGAUUAGAUACCCGGGUAGUC
RNAcentral lists this ribosomal RNA (465 nucleotides) under Vreelandella stevensii. RNAcentral describes it as "partial 16S ribosomal RNA". It matches the Rfam family "Bacterial small subunit ribosomal RNA", at positions 338 to 795 of the family's 1533-position model. Lineage: Bacteria; Pseudomonadati; Pseudomonadota; Gammaproteobacteria; Oceanospirillales; Halomonadaceae. The record is from RNAcentral.